AUACGUAGGUGGCAAGCGUUGUCCGGAAUUAUUGGGCGUAAAGCGCGCGCAGGUGGUUCCUUCAGUCUGAUGUGAAAGCCCCCGGCUCAACCGGGGAGGGUCAUUGGAAACUGGGGAACUUGAGUGCAGAAGAGGAUAGUGGAAUUCCAAGUGUAGCGGUUAAAUGCGUAGAGAUUUGGAGGAAAACCAGUGGCGAAGGCGGCUUUCUGGGCGCUAACUGGCACUUAGGGCCUAAAGCGUUGAGAGCAAGCAAGAUUAGAUACCCUGGUAGACCACGCCGUAAACGAUGAGUGCUAAGUGUUGGGAGGGUUCCGCCCCUCAGUGCUGCAGCUAACGCAUUAAGCACUCCGCCUGGGGAGUACGGUCGCAAGACUGAAACUCAAAGGAAUUGACGGGG
This 397-nucleotide ribosomal RNA is filed under the name uncultured bacterium. Its description in RNAcentral is "partial 16S ribosomal RNA". It matches the Rfam family "Bacterial small subunit ribosomal RNA", at positions 523 to 918 of the family's 1533-position model. The record is from RNAcentral.